AGGGCCUGUGCAUAUGAUCCCGCUUACCGGGACGUCUCGCUUACCAAUGAUCUCGCCGCUUAUCUAUUUUCCUAUAAAAUUUUGCAUUGUGUUCAUAUGAGAAAGCGAGCUGGCCCGCUUGCCGAGAUCUCGUUUGAAUUUGCCGAGAUCACAGGUAGGCGGGAUGAAAAUUUUUCCAUAUGAACACGCCAGCCCGCUUACCGGGAUGAAGUGAAACAAGUCUUGCCGGUUUAAUUUAACACUUUUUACUUGGUUUUAUGUUUGUUUUGUAAACAAGUAUUAAAUAACCACCUGAAGCAAUACUUUUUCUUGUAAAUAAACGAAGAAAAACA
This is a non-coding RNA of Paramuricea clavata, 332 nucleotides long. Lineage: Eukaryota; Metazoa; Cnidaria; Anthozoa; Malacalcyonacea; Plexauridae. The record is from the annotation of a GenBank genome assembly.